RNAcentral lists this ribosomal RNA (291 nucleotides) under uncultured bacterium. Its description in RNAcentral is "partial 16S ribosomal RNA". It matches the Rfam family "Bacterial small subunit ribosomal RNA", at positions 775 to 1067 of the family's 1533-position model. The record is from RNAcentral.
GGAUUAGAUACCCUGGUAGUCCACACUGUAAACGAUGAUAACUGGAUGUUUGUAGGCAUAUAUAAGCGUCUGAGGGAAACCAUUAAGUUAUCCACCUGGGGAGUACGGCCGCAAGGCUGAAACUCAAAGGAAUUGACGGGGGCCCGCACAAGCGGAGGAACAUGUGGUUUAAUUCGAUGAUACGCGAGGAACCUUACCCGGGCUUGAAAGACAGUUGCAUAGAGCAGAGAUGUUCUUUUGUAGCAAUACACCACUGUCUAGGUGCUGCAUGGCUGUCGUCAGCUCGUGUCG